Molecule: ribosomal RNA, 741 nt
Filed under: uncultured Actinomycetes bacterium
Lineage: Bacteria; Bacillati; Actinomycetota; Actinomycetes
Description: bacterial SSU rRNA
Rfam family: Bacterial small subunit ribosomal RNA
Source: RNAcentral
AGCUUAUCCUCCGAAGUAUCAGAUAGGAAGUAGAUAGAGUAGGAGUUAACGGCGGGAAGGAAGUAAAAAUGCAGUGAGGGAAGGCCCUUCGGGGUACUUUUCGCCGCGAACGGGCGAAUAACACGUGAGCGACCUACCCAUCACAUCGGGAUAACUCCGGGAAACCGGAGCUAAUACCGAAUACGACCACCUCAGGCAUCUGAUGGUGGUGGAAAGCUCCGGCGGUGAUGGAUGGGCUCGCGGCCUAUCAGCUUGUUGGUGGGGUAAUGGCCUACCUAGGCUUCGACGGGUAGCCGGCCUGAGAGGGUGACCGGCCACACUGGGACUGAGACACGGCCCAGACUCCUACGGGAGGCAGCAGUGGGGAAUAUUGGACAAUGGGCGAAAGCCUGAUCCAACAACGCCGCGUGAGGGAUGACGGCCUUCGGGUUGUAAACCUCUUUCUCAGGGACGAAACGCAAGUGACGGUACCUGCACAAGAAGCACCGGCCAACUACGUGCCACAGCCGCGGUAAUACGUAGGGUGCGAGCGUUGUCCGGAAUUAUUGGGCGUAAAGGGAUCGUAAGUGGUCUGUCGCGUCCGGGGUGAAACUCUUGGUUUUAUCCCUGAGCCUGCUUCCGAUACGGGCAAACUAAAGGUAUGCAGGGAAAAUGGAAUUCCUGGUGUAAAGGGGAUUGCACUAAUUCGGAGGAAACCGGGGAAGGGGUCUCUGGCCUUACCGACCUAACGAAGGGACCCGG